RNAcentral lists this non-coding RNA (30 nucleotides) under Mus musculus (house mouse). The record is from RNAcentral. Lineage: Eukaryota; Metazoa; Chordata; Mammalia; Rodentia; Muridae.
UUUAAUCCAAAUCUUCCCACUCAAGGACCA